Molecule: ribosomal RNA, 401 nt
Filed under: Pseudomonas sp. R-32840
Lineage: Bacteria; Pseudomonadati; Pseudomonadota; Gammaproteobacteria; Pseudomonadales; Pseudomonadaceae
Description: bacterial SSU rRNA
Rfam family: Bacterial small subunit ribosomal RNA
Source: RNAcentral
AUUGAACGCUGGCGGCAGGCCUAACACAUGCAAGUCGAGCGGUAGAGAGAAGCUUGCUUCUCUUGAGAGCGGCGGACGGGUGAGUAAUGCCUAGGAAUCUGCCUGGUAGUGGGGGAUAACGCUCGGAAACGGACGCUAAUACCGCAUACGUCCUACGGGAGAAAGCAGGGGACCUUCGGGCCUUGCGCUAUCAGAUGAGCCUAGGUCGGAUUAGCUAGUUGGUGAGGUAAUGGCUCACCAAGGCGACGAUCCGUAACUGGUCUGAGAGGAUGAUCAGUCACACUGGAACUGAGACACGGUCCAGACUCCUACGGGAGGCAGCAGUGGGGAAUAUUGGACAAUGGGCGAAAGCCUGAUCCAGCCAUGCCGCGUGUGUGAAGAAGGUCUUCGGAUUGUAAAGC